This 1039-nucleotide unclassified non-coding RNA is filed under the name Hevea brasiliensis (rubber tree). Lineage: Eukaryota; Viridiplantae; Streptophyta; Magnoliopsida; Malpighiales; Euphorbiaceae. The record is from RNAcentral.
UUGCAAAUGGAGGAAUCGUAGCCGAGAGAUGAUAAUCCAUCGGCUACGAUCUUUCUCAAAUCGUCCUUUUGCUUGUGAUUCUUGUUCUUCUCGACGAUCAUCGCAGUAUCAGCUAGGAGGUUUCUUUCGUGAACAGUGGCACAGGGAGUCAAACUCUUAAGAAUAUCGGAGGCAUCGCCAGAUGAUCCAUUGCUGAUCGAUUCCCCAAAGCCACCACCAGCAAAUAUAUCAAAUUCAUCAUCGGAGCUGUCGUUAAUGUUCCCGUUAAAGCAAUUGCAUCGGUGACGGCCGCGAAACGGCUUCUCGUUGCUUUCCUCGAUGUAAUUCUGCACCAUUUUAGCCAAACAUACUGAGCUCGGCUCAAACUCCGUCCCGGCACCUCCUCCGUCCUUGGUCCCAUACUGUGCUUCACCAACGCUUGGCUUUUCGACCGAGGAAAUUCUCAACACACCGGGGAAUUGCCGGUCAAACAGCCUCUUCAGACGCGAUUUCAACACCGGCUUCACCGGUUCGGCCCUCGCCGGAACCGUUGUCUGACAGUCAAUAUCUAUGGGUUGGAUCUUCAUAGGAAAAGGCAUAACAGCUCUGAAGAUAUAGAAAAAGAGAAGACCCGAUCCUAAAGAUUGAAGGUUAGAAGUUAAAAUGGAUUGAAUGCUCUGGUUUAAGCUCUGCGUGUCAGUUCUGCUCCAUAUUCAGAGCUCUCUCAAAUACGUGGAUUGCAGAGACUCGCAGAUUUGCAGCAGAGUGACUAAUCAAUUACUUCUUCUGGUCCUGAUUCUUCCAGUACAUUUACAAAACCCAUGAACUAGACAAUUAAAAAAAUCAAUGCCACAGGCUAACAAUCAAAUUCAUGCACAUUUUACUCCCUCCAAUAAGCCACAACAGUAACGCCUUACCUAAGGAAGAAAAAGCAACAAAAAAAACCCUCAAAAUUGGAACCCUCAACAGGAUCACCACAUCCAAUCAAAAAGCCUCAGAAAAUUUUGAUCUAAUCCCAUGCACAAAAUUUCUGUGCAAGCAAAAUCCGGUACCUUCCCUC